Molecule: long non-coding RNA, 656 nt
Organism: Cebus imitator (Panamanian white-faced capuchin)
Lineage: Eukaryota; Metazoa; Chordata; Mammalia; Primates; Cebidae
Exons: 2
Source: RefSeq, a predicted model, not a curated record
UGGCUCCUCCCUAUCCCCAUCCAACCCCAAGUCACUAGUCAUCCCCAGCAACUUGGCUUUGUCUAUUUGCAAACCAGCCUAUUGUUCUAUGAUUUGGUGCACAGAGUCUGGGAUAAGAAAGUAGGCUAAGUGAGUGAUUUACUGAUCCCAGAGACACCGAUGGCCUUAGGUGAGAGGAAGUUUCCUUGGCUGAAGUUGAAACUACAACAUCCCCCUGGACAGCACAAACUCCCAAACAUGCAAGAGAUACUUUCGUGGUUCUGGAAGGCAGAUGUGCAAGAGACUUCUUGGCAAAGGAUGAAGGCAUAGAGUCAAAGGAACCAGGAGAUGGAAGACAGUGGCAAACUGAACACAUAACGAAGACUUGCUUCCAUUUUGCCAGAUAUGAUUCUUAGCCCAAUAUAAAUAAGAAGAUCCGGCUAGGCAUGGUGGCUCAUGCCUACAAUCCCAGGACUUUGGGAGGCUGAGGCAAGUGGAUCACCUGAGAGAGCUGCAAAGAUUUCAAGGUGGAAGAGAGCUCACUGAGAGACCAGAAAAAGACUUCAUGGAGUAGGGGAUUUUCCAAAUGUGUUUUGAAUGAUAUUUUCCAUAAAGGGUUGGGGAGUGAGUUUCUCUCACAGAAAACAAAAUAAACAGAAUCAAACAUUCCGAAAAUG